UGGGGGAUAUUGCACAAUGGAGGAAACCCUGAUGCAGCGACGCCGCGUGAGGGAAGAAGGUCUUCGGAUUGUAAACCUCUGUCUUUGGGGACGAAGAAAGUGACGGUACCCAAAGAGGAAGCCACGGCUAACUACGUGCCAGCAGCCGCGGUAAUACGUAGGGGGCAAGCGUUGUCCGGAUUUACUGGGUGUAAAGGGCGCGCAGGCGGGAUAAAAAGUCAGUGGUGAAAUCCUACAGCUUAACUGUAGAACUGCCUUUGAUACUUUUAUUCUUGAGUUCGGGAGAGAGAGACGGAAUUCCAGGUGUAGUGGUGAAAUACGUAGAUAUCUGGAAGAACACCAGUUGCGAAGGCGGUCUCUUGGUCCGACACUGACGCUGAGGCGCGAAAGCGUGGGGAGCAAACA
RNAcentral lists this ribosomal RNA (405 nucleotides) under uncultured bacterium. RNAcentral describes it as "bacterial SSU rRNA". It matches the Rfam family "Bacterial small subunit ribosomal RNA", at positions 355 to 774 of the family's 1533-position model. The record is from RNAcentral.